UUUUGAGUAGAACCCAAAUACCGCUAGUAUUUUAAGGAAUUAAAAAUCCCUCAAAAC
Molecule: transfer RNA, 57 nt
Filed under: Dromiciops gliroides (monito del monte)
Lineage: Eukaryota; Metazoa; Chordata; Mammalia; Microbiotheria; Microbiotheriidae
Description: transfer RNA-Lys
Source: RNAcentral